Molecule: ribosomal RNA, 205 nt
Filed under: uncultured bacterium
Lineage: Bacteria
Description: partial 16S ribosomal RNA
Rfam family: Bacterial small subunit ribosomal RNA
Source: RNAcentral
UACGGAGGGUGCGAGCGUUGUCCGGAAUCAUUGGGCGUAAAGGGCGCGUAGGUGGCGGGACAAGCGUGCGGUGAAAGCUCGGGGCUCAACCCCGAGUCGGCCGUGCGAACUGUUUUGCUUGAGCACUGUAGAGGCAGGCGGAAUUCCGGGUGUAGCGGUGGAAUGCGUAGAGAUCCGGAAGAACACCGGUGGCGAAGGCGGCCUG